Molecule: ribosomal RNA, 466 nt
Filed under: uncultured bacterium
Lineage: Bacteria
Description: partial 16S ribosomal RNA
Rfam family: Bacterial small subunit ribosomal RNA
Source: RNAcentral
GAUGAACGCUGGCGGCGUGCUUAACACAUGCAAGUCGAACGGUGAAAGAGAGCUUGCUCUCUGGCUCAGUGGCGAACGGGUGAGUAACACGUGAGCAAUCUGCCCCUGACUCUGGGAUAAGCGCUGGAAACGGCGUCUAAUACCUGAUACGAGCUGCGAAGGCAUCUUCAGCAGCUGGAAAGAACUUCGGUCAGGGUUGAGCUCGCGGCCUAUCAGCUAGUUGGUGAGGUAACGGCUCACCAAGGCGUCGACGGGUAGCCGUCCUGAGAGGGUGACCGGCCACACUGGGACUGAGACACGGCCAAGACGCCUACGGGAGGCAGCAGUGGGGAAUAUUGCAAAAUGGGCGAAAGCCUGAUGCAGCAACGCCGCGUGAGGGAAGACGGCCUUCGGGUUGUAAACCUCUUUUAGCAGGGAAGAAGCGAAAGUGACGGUACCUGCAGAAAAAGCACCGGCUAACUACGUG